CAGCCGCCGCGGGAAUACGUAGGUCCCGAGCGUUGUCCGGAUUUAUUGGGCGUAAAGCGAGCGCAGGCGGUUAGAUAAGUCUGAAGUUAAAGGCUGUGGCUUAACCAUAGUACGCUUUGGAAACUGUUUAACUUGAGUGCAGAAGGGGAGAGUGGAAUUCCAUGUGUAGCGGUGAAAUGCGUAGAUAUAUGGAGGAACACCGGUGGCGAAAGCGGCUCUCUGGUCUGUAACUGACGCUGAGGCUCGAAAGCGUGGGGAGCAAACAGGAUUAGAUACCCGGGUAGUCCCUGUCUCUUAUACA
RNAcentral lists this ribosomal RNA (301 nucleotides) under uncultured bacterium. Its description in RNAcentral is "partial 16S ribosomal RNA". It matches the Rfam family "Bacterial small subunit ribosomal RNA", at positions 509 to 808 of the family's 1533-position model. The record is from RNAcentral.